UGGGGAAUCUUGCACAAUGGGCGAAAGCCUGAUGCAGCGACGCCGCGUGCGGGAUGAAGGCCUUCGGGUUGUAAACCGCUUUCAGCAGGGACGAGGCCGCAAGGUGACGGUACCUGCAGAAGAAGCCCCGGCUAACUACGUGCCAGCAGCCGCGGUAAUACGUAGGGGGCAAGCGUUAUCCGGUUUCAUUGGGCGUAAAGGGUGCGUAGGUGGUCUUUCAAGUCGGUGGUUAAAGGCUACGGCUCAACCGUAGUUAGCCUCCGAAACUGGAAGACUUGAGUGCAGGAGAGGAAAGUGGAAUUCCCAGUGUAGCGGUGAAAUGCGUAGAUAUUGGGAGGAACACCAGUAGCGAAGGCGGCUUUCUGGACUGCAACUGACACUGAGGCACGAAAGCGUGGGUAGCAAACAGG
RNAcentral lists this ribosomal RNA (410 nucleotides) under Verrucomicrobiota bacterium. RNAcentral describes it as "Verrucomicrobia bacterium partial 16S ribosomal RNA". It matches the Rfam family "Bacterial small subunit ribosomal RNA", at positions 355 to 776 of the family's 1533-position model. Lineage: Bacteria; Pseudomonadati; Verrucomicrobiota. The record is from RNAcentral.